This 510-nucleotide ribosomal RNA is filed under the name uncultured bacterium. RNAcentral describes it as "partial 16S ribosomal RNA". It matches the Rfam family "Bacterial small subunit ribosomal RNA", at positions 28 to 507 of the family's 1533-position model. The record is from RNAcentral.
GACGAACGCUGGCGGCGUGCUUAACACAUGCAAGUCGAACGAAGAGCGAUGGAAGCUUGCUUCUAUCAAUCUUAGUGGCGAACGGGUGAGUAACGCGUAAUCAACCUGCCCUUCAGAGGGGGACAACAGUUGGAAACGACUGCUAAUACCGCAUACGAUCUAAUCUCGGCAUCGAGGAUAGAUGAAAGGUGGCCUCUACAUGUAAGCUAUCACUUCAGGGUGGGAUUGCGUCUGAUUAGCUAGUUGGAGGGGUAACGGCCCACCAAGGCGAUGAUCAGUAGCCGGUCGGAGAGGAUGAACGGCCACAUUGGGAGUGAGACACGGCCCAGACGGCUACGGGAGGCAGCAGUGGGGAAACUUCCGCAAUGGACGAAAGUCUGACGGAGCAACGCCGCGGGAGGGAUGACGGCCGUCGGGUUGUAAAGCUCGGUUAAUCGGGACGAAAGGCCUUCUGGCGAAUAGUGGGAAGGAUUGACGGUACCGGAAUAGAAAGCCACGGCUAACUACGUG